RNAcentral lists this ribosomal RNA (436 nucleotides) under uncultured Bacteroides sp. RNAcentral's name for it is "bacterial SSU rRNA". It matches the Rfam family "Bacterial small subunit ribosomal RNA", at positions 349 to 782 of the family's 1533-position model. The record is from RNAcentral. Lineage: Bacteria; Pseudomonadati; Bacteroidota; Bacteroidia; Bacteroidales; Bacteroidaceae.
CAGCAGUGAGGAAUAUUGGUCAAUGGACGAGAGUCUGAACCAGCCAAGUAGCGUGAAGGAUGACUGCCCUAUGGGUUGUAAACUUCUUUUAUAAGGGAAUAAAGUGCACCACGCGUGGUGUUUUGUAUGUACCUUAUGAAUAAGGAUCGGCUAACUCCGUGCCAGCAGCCGCGGUAAUACGGAGGAUCCGAGCGUUAUCCGGAUUUAUUGGGUUUAAAGGGAGCGUAGGCGGCAGGUUAAGUCAGUUGUGAAAGUUUGCGGCUCAACCGUAAAAUUGCAGUUGAUACUGGCCUGCUUGAGUGCGGCAGAGGCAGGCGGAAUUUGUGGUGUAGCGGUGAAAUGCUUAGAUAUCACGAAGAACUCCGAUUGCGAAGGCAGCUUGCUGGAGCGUAACUGACGCUGAUGCUCGAAAGUGCGGGUAUCAAACAGGAUUAGA